GAGAAAAAUAAGUUGGUUCUCUUAGCAGUUUCUAUUUUGCUAUCAUUAUUUUUGCUCUGAUGAAAAAAUCUUUUAGUAGAAUGUCUUUUAUGUUUGUCUCAGAAGCGAAAACGAAUUUGUUGGAAGUGACAAAAAUUUUAGUACACAAAGAUUAGCUGAGACAACAAGGUAUCCUAGUAGUAAUUACAAAUGAAAAUUUCGCUGUCUCAGCUGUUCCUCGCGUAGCAAUCUGUUUUGCACCCAGAUGCAAAUGGUUUGCUGAGCCGACAAAGUAUGUUAGCUAUAGAAUUACAUACGUAGGUAUGAGUCAACGGUCAGCAGAGAAAUAAAACCAAUUUCCGCAGCCCACUGCCUAAGUAGAAGUACAAGCGAAGCAGUAAGUUUCGGUUUCAUUUAUCAUUUUAAUUUUACGCGUAAGUGUUCUGUACCUUGAGCAAAUUAGCGGAAAUGUCGGAAUCAGAAUUGCAGUGUGUGAGUGUGGAAAGUGUUUCUGGUGAUACAUCGACGGUCUACUAAAAUGUUGGGGGCUAGAAAUGUUGAGUAGCGUCUUCAAAGGUAAGUCGAAAAAAUGUGUCUUUACUUUCUGUAAAUGUAUAAAGUAUAAAAUACCGCCGGCUAAGCGUCGAAAUCUAACGAUUGCCUCAAAAUGGCGACAAAAAAGACCCAGAUGUGAUAAUCGAACACGAGCUGAAGGUUGAUUUUACUAAGAGUAUACCGACAGCUCGGCUUGACAGUUUGGCGGUCAUCGUCCAGCGUAUGUUCCCAACAGAAACCAAAGAUUGUUAUUUUACCAUAGUAAACGAACAGGGCAAGAAAUCAGAGAGAGGUAAAUUAUUUACUAAAUAUUAUAAUUUGAGAAGACGAUUUACUAGUAUUCGAUUGAUUAAUAAAAAAAACUAAAAGUACAGCUACAGUUCAUGGUUCAAAUAAAGGUGAGAAUGUUACUUCCACAAACAUUACAUUACUUUUAAAAACAAUGAGUAUAAUGAAGAUGUGUAAAUUUGUAGAGAUUGGUGAAGAGAAGAGUGAAAUUGUCAAGUGGCUGGAGAACAAUGUAUCUCCAUGGACGUCUGUCAUUAACCAUUGGACUGAGACCUUUCAUACACGAAGGAAUUUAUUUUUGGAAUUACCAGAUCUCUGUGGCUACAAAGACAAUUUUUGCCAGACCGCACACAAUUUAGCUGCUAGUGCAAGUUUCGUCUAUUAUAGGAUAAUAACGCUCUUAGCAGCUGCAGCUAAAAUAAUUUGCUUAGAGAGCAAAGAGAUUCAGUGACCGGUACUUCAAUAUGUUAGUAGUGGCUACAAAUGGGACUGGUUCUAUUGCAAAUUUCAUCGAUUAUUGGAUACUAAAUUUACUGGCAGCCGCAGCUAAAGUUAUUUGUUACGAAAUCAAAAUAGUUUAGUAACAGGUACUUUCAGAUUUUAGUAGGAAAAGCAAAACGUAUUUAGUUACAUCAACUAAAAAUAGGUAGCAUUUUUUCUUUGCUCUUGCUGCAAAACUUUUAGCAGUCCAUAUAGGUGCAAAGAAAAUUAGCUGCAUAUACUUAUUUUUUUGUUCUUAUGACAAAUCAUUU
RNA transcript from Photinus pyralis (common eastern firefly), 1574 nucleotides. RefSeq lists it as uncharacterized. The transcript has 3 exons. NCBI's taxonomy places the organism in Eukaryota, Metazoa, Arthropoda, Insecta, Coleoptera, Lampyridae. The record is from RefSeq and is a predicted model, not a curated record.